CUUUUAGAACUGCUCUGGAAACUUUAAAACCCUCAGCAGAAAGGUAGAGAUAGGUAAAACUCCUUGGAGGCUUGAUUUUCCUUCAAGGCAGGAAGGGUCAGGUACUUUUUUUUGUUUGUAACUUGUUUUCUGACUUUACUUGAAAGCCAUAAUGUUUCCUCUCUCUUUUUUCCUCUUGUUCUGAGUUUACUGCAGGUUUCAAAGUAUCACAUUCAAGCACACUGAAUAAGUUUAUCAAGAGUAAUUCAUAGUUGUACAACAUAGCUGUACAGGUCUUACCGUAGAGCAUAAAUAUCAAUAGCAUUUUGCAGAUGGAGAAACCGAGUCUCAGACUGUGGGAUUUGAUUUCAUUUAACUGUAUGAAAGGCACCUUCAUCUCACCCAAGCUGUUCCUUUGGACUUGUAGGAAUGCAAUCUGACUUUCAUUUCAUCUACGUCUGGAGGUGAGCGGCAUCCCGGGAUUGCUAGUUUGUCUCCAUUCACCAAAAGAGGGUCCAGGCAGCUUAGACUAAACAGAUCCUGCUCAGAAUUACAGAACUGGAGAGUAGCAGAGCUGGCAUCCUGACUUCCAGGACCUUCUCCUGUGCCAUAUUUUAUUAACAGCACUGAUAUGCAACGGACUUCUUUCUGUAACUCCUUCUCUGUGCCUUUUUAUGACACUUUUUGGAGGAAGCUUCUUAGCAGAGUGACAGGACAUAGAACUAGAACACCACCCUCUGCCAGUGUCCUUUCAGCAUUUUGGACAGUGAGAAAGCAUCCUCAAGUUAAUGACUAAGUGAAGAUCAGGCUCUGUCAGAAUCUCAGUCUGUGAAGAUCUCUCUCCUGCCUUCUCUCACUCUGUGGCAGCAUAAGAGGAAGGUCUGGGCUGUAUCUCUGCUAGAUGCUGCUCAGGCACCUGCUUUUCCCAGCUGACCAGUCCCUUUCUGAUUAGUAAAAGAGCAACAACUGGUAAACAUGGCUUAAGAUACUACCGACAUGUGCCAAACAAUUUUCUAUUAUUAAAUAUCAAAAGCAAAAGUUUACAUUGUUUUCUAACAAGUUGAGAGUCUGGUCUGUGUGAGGAGAAACUGAAUCAGAAUUGUUGACUCUGUGCUGCAUUAAAUAAAAGAUAUUAUAUGGUUUUUAAAUGUCA
RNAcentral lists this long non-coding RNA (1132 nucleotides) under Coturnix japonica (Japanese quail). RNAcentral's name for it is "lncRNA (ENSCJPG00005002839.1)". Lineage: Eukaryota; Metazoa; Chordata; Aves; Galliformes; Phasianidae. The record is from RNAcentral.